CUGUUUUCCAGAGUGGCUGCACCAGCUGGCAUUCCCAUUUUUUGCUUUUCCUUAACAAUAUGUGAUCAAAAUUUUCAGUGAGUUAAACCUCUUCCUUCAAGUCACAUUAUUUUUUUAUUUUAAUUUUCAGUUCCGGUACAGUUAACAUAUGGUGUUGUGUUAGCUUCAGGUAUGCAAUAUAGUGAUUCCACGUUUGGAUACGGUGCAGAGCGCCCCUCCCCUCCAGCUCACUUUAAAGGGCUAUCUUCUGAGCGGACGGACCAUAAUACAUAUAAGCAGACUCCUCCAUUUACAUUCUCUCCCCUUUUUCUCUCUUCUAAGGAAUGCUGCAGCAAACAUCCUUGGGCAGUUUUGCCCACGGCCUUGAUUAUUCCUUGGGACUUGUUUCUAGAAGGGAAUCCCUGGGCCGAGGACCCAUUCUAAAGGCUCUUGAUUUAGAAGGCACUGGGGUAUCUCGCCGGCGAAAUUCUUUAAAGCUUUCUCAAGACAACUGAAAAUCUAGUUCAUGGGAACGUAUUACAAUAACCCGAUGCCCCCUCCUCUGAAAAGGCUUCUCUGAACCCCCAGCUCCCCGAGGCUGCCCCUCCUCAGGGCGCCCACAGCCCCCUCACCCUAAAUUGUAAUCACCUGUUUCAUUGCCUGACGCGCCCCCUAUAUACCAUGAGCGUGAGUUCUCCAGGCAAGCCUUGGUCGGGUUCACUGCCUCCUCCCUAGAAAUGCACAGAGCUGGCUGGCACAUAGCAGGCGCUCAAUAAUAUUUGUUGGAAUUUG
Long non-coding RNA from Lynx canadensis (Canada lynx), 771 nucleotides. RefSeq lists it as uncharacterized. The record is from RefSeq and is a predicted model, not a curated record. NCBI's taxonomy places the organism in Eukaryota, Metazoa, Chordata, Mammalia, Carnivora, Felidae. The transcript is spliced from 2 exons.